UACGUAGGGUCCGAGCGUUGUCCGGAGUUACUGGGCGUAAAGCGCGCGUAGGCGGCGGUGCUGGCCCGGCGUGAAAGCCCCCGGCUCAACCGGGGAGGGUCGUCGGGGACCGCACCGCUUGAGGGCGGUAGGGGCUGGUGGAAUGCCUGGUGUAGUGGUGAAAUGCGUAGAGAUCAGGCGGAACACCCGUGGCGAAGGCGGCCAGCUGGGCCGUCCCUGACGCUGAGGCGCGAAGGCGUGGGGAGCGAACAGG
This 253-nucleotide ribosomal RNA is filed under the name uncultured bacterium. Its description in RNAcentral is "partial 16S ribosomal RNA". It matches the Rfam family "Bacterial small subunit ribosomal RNA", at positions 524 to 776 of the family's 1533-position model. The record is from RNAcentral.